This 500-nucleotide ribosomal RNA is filed under the name uncultured bacterium. RNAcentral's name for it is "partial 16S ribosomal RNA". It matches the Rfam family "Bacterial small subunit ribosomal RNA", at positions 28 to 507 of the family's 1533-position model. The record is from RNAcentral.
GACGAACGCUGGCGGCGUGCUUAACACACGCAAGUCGAACGGAAAGGCCUGCUUUCCCUUGUGGAUUGCGGGUACUCGAGUGGCGAACGGGUGAGUAACACGUGAGUGAUCUGCCCCCAACUUGGGUAUAAGCCUGGGAAACUGGGUCUAAUUCCCGUUAGGACUGCAGGGUGGUGCCUGUGGUGGAAAACGUUUUUCUAGUGGUUGGGGAUGAGCUCGCGGCCUAUCAGCUUGUUGGUGGGGUAAUGGCCUACCAAGGCGGCGACGGGUAGCCGGCCGGGGAGGGGGAGCGGCCACGCGGGAGCUGGGACAGGGUCCCGACUCCUGCGGGAGGCAGCAGUAGGGGAUCGUCCGCAAUGGGCGAGAGCCGGACGGAGCAACGCCGCGGGAGUGAUGAAGGUCGCCGGAUCGGAAAACUCGGCUAUGAGGGAAGAACAUAUGUGUAAGUAACUGUGCACAUCGUGACGGUACCGAAUCAGAAAGCAACGGCUAACUACGUG